This 253-nucleotide ribosomal RNA is filed under the name uncultured bacterium. RNAcentral's name for it is "partial 16S ribosomal RNA". It matches the Rfam family "Bacterial small subunit ribosomal RNA", at positions 524 to 776 of the family's 1533-position model. The record is from RNAcentral.
UACGAAGGGGGCUAGCGUUGUUCGGAAUCACUGGGCGUAAAGGGCGCGUAGGUGGCGGCCCAAGUCCAUGGUGAAAGCUCGAUGCUCAACAUCGAGUCGGCCACGGAUACUGGGUUGCUCGAGCACUGUAGGGGCAGAUGGAAUUCCGGGUGUAGCGGUGGAAUGCGUAGAGAUCCGGAAGAACACCGGUGGCGAAGGCGGUCUGCUGGGCAGUUGCUGACACUGAGGCGCGACAGCGUGGGGAGCAAGCAGG